Triticum aestivum (bread wheat) is the source of this 917-nucleotide RNA transcript. It is a transcript of the gene named polyubiquitin 11-like, with no coding region annotated. The record is from RefSeq and is a predicted model, not a curated record. The transcript has a single exon. NCBI's taxonomy places the organism in Eukaryota, Viridiplantae, Streptophyta, Magnoliopsida, Poales, Poaceae.
AUGCAGAUAUUUGUGAAGACCCUCACCGGCAAGACCAUCACCCUUGAGGUUGAGUCAUCGGACACCAUCGACAACGUCAAGGCGAAGAUUUAGGACAAGGAGGGUAUCCCCCCGGACCAGCAGCGCCUCAUCUUUGCUGGCAAGCAGCUCGAGGAUGGUCGUACCCUUGCUGACUACAACAUCCAGAAGGAGUCCACUCUCCACCUGGUGCUCCGCCUUCGUGGUGGUAUGCAGAUCUUCGUCAACACCCUGACGGGCAAGACCAUCACUCUGGAGGUGGAGUCUUCGGACACCAUCGACAACGUGAAGGCAAAGAUCCAGGACAAGGAGGGCAUCCCCCCGGACCAGCAGCGCCUCAUCUUCGCCGGCAAGCAGCUCGAGGAUGGCCGCACUCUUGCUGACUACAACAUCCAGAAGGAGUCCACCCUCCACCUGGUGCUCCGCCUUCGUGGUGGUAUGCAGAUCUUCGUCAAGACCCUGACGGGCAAGACCAUCACUCUGGAGGUGGAGUCCUCGGACACCAUCGACAACGUGAAGGCGAAGAUCCAGGACAAGGAGGGCAUCCCCCCGGACCAGCAGCGUCUCAUCUUUGCUGGUAAGCAGCUUGAGGAUGGCCGCACUCUGGCAGACUACAACAUCCAGAAGGAGUCUACCCUUCACUUGGUGCUUCGCCUGCGUGGUGGCCAGUAAGUGCCUGGUCACGGUGUGGCUUCUGUUGGGUUCACAGGUCUUGUGUCGUCGGUGUCCUCCAAUAGGUGCGCUUGUCUGGUCGUGUCGUUGUUUCCAUCACUGAUCUGUUCGGUUGUGUCGAUUACUGAUCUGUUCGGUUGUGUCGAUUACUUGCCGUGGCUUUGGAUGGUGAACUAUGAUUAAUAAGGGAGCUCUUAAUAUCGUGCGUAAUUUGUGUCAGUUCUUCA